AAUUUGUCUGUCCUCUGGGGUGGAAUCUGUCAAGUCUCAAGAGAAGCCUGUGCCUGCCACACUGGUGCUGCUAGAGCUGACGUGUGCCAGGAAUUGAUGCGGAUCCUCUCGGUCCUCUCCCUCCCUGCUGCUGAUAGUGACCAGGCUGGUUGCAUGCCCUGCCUUUGUCGUUUGGGUGACAUGCUACUGUGGGCAGCUCUGCUACUCCUGGCUCCAGUUGCUGGGACACCUGCAGGUCUCCCAAAGUCUGUCCUGGACCUCGAGCCCCCGUGGAUCAACGUGCUCCAGGGCGACUCCGUGACUCUGAAGUGCCAGGGGGCCCACAGAGCUGAGGAGCACACCCAGUGGUACCAUAAUGGGAGCUUCCUCCCAAUCCUGGUCCAGUCCAACUACAGCUUUGAGGCCAAAAAACAGGACAGUGGGGAGUACAGAUGCCAGAUGUACCAGACCAGCGUCAGUGACCCUGUGCAUCUGGAUGUGACUUCCGACUGGCUGCUGCUCCAGACCCCUCGCCUGGUGUUCCAGAAGGGGGAGUCCAUCAGGCUGAGGUGCCACAGCUGGAAGAACAAGCUUCUGUACAAGAUCACAUUCUUCCAGAAUGGAAAAUCCAAGCAGUUUUCUUCUCUGAAUUCCACAUUCUUCAUCCCAGAAGCAAACCUCAGUCACAGUGGCCACUACCACUGCACAGGGAUGAUAGGGCAGAUGCUGCGCUUGUCACAGCCUGUGGCCAUCACUGUCCAAGGAUCCGACUCGAGUGACUCCUCGGUGGUGAUGACAAUUGUGUCUGCGGUCGCUGGCACGGCCGUCGCGGCCAUCCUUGCUGCUGUAGUGGCCUGGCUCCGCCUCAGGCGAAAGCAAACUUCAGCUCCCCUGGGAAGCCUCGAGCACAGGGAAAUGGGAGAGAGGCUCCCUGAGGCAGCAGCCAGGACCGGGGCUCAUGGCUUCCCAUCAGCGAGCUGGGAUCGUUGAGAAAUGCAUUGGAAGGAGAGUUCGGGAGGUGGUUUGUUCCAGAAUCUGGAGCAUGGCAAACAGAGACUCUCUGUGUCCAGGGGCCAAUGUCACUGAUACCGAAGAGGCUGCCAAAAUUGAGGCUGAGAACACCAUCACCUACUCGCUCCUCCAGCACCCGGAGGAGGAGACAGAGGCCCCGGAUUACCAGAACCAGAUUUAGUCUCCAUCGACUUGCCUGAGACCCGGGGAAGAGAAUCCGAGAGACGGGGAUGCAGGCCCGAGUUCCCCGUGGGAAAGACAAGAGGAUGCCACAGCUCCAGAGAAGGAGGGGGACCCUUCCAGGGUCAUCUGCGUGAAUCCUGAAGGCUCCCUGUCCUCAAAGUCACAGACUGUACUGGUUCCUUCUGUGUCUCAGCACCUCUCGCCAUCUAGACUCUUCUCCAUACAUCCACAAAGCAGAUACAAAUUACUUGGAUUAGGAGAUCGUAGCAACAUGGGAAAGGCUUAUGUUAUAGGUUACCUGAGAAAAAUUAUGUAGGUGUAUAUGAUUCAGGAAUGUUGAAACAGACUGACGUUUGCCAACAACUUAGAAGUGAUGGUUUCGGGGUGAUGAGAUUAUUGGUGAUUUUCAUCUUCUUUCUUUAUUUUUCUGUACAGAUCAUGUAUUACAUUUUAUAAUAAAAUACUAGAAAAACAGCA
This is an RNA transcript of Canis lupus familiaris (dog), 1650 nucleotides long. It is a transcript of the gene named Fc fragment of IgG receptor IIb, with no coding region annotated. The transcript has 9 exons. NCBI's taxonomy places the organism in Eukaryota, Metazoa, Chordata, Mammalia, Carnivora, Canidae. The record is from RefSeq and is a predicted model, not a curated record.